Molecule: long non-coding RNA, 1562 nt
Organism: Juglans regia (Persian walnut)
Lineage: Eukaryota; Viridiplantae; Streptophyta; Magnoliopsida; Fagales; Juglandaceae
Exons: 3
Source: RefSeq, a predicted model, not a curated record
UUAACACAUUAUUUUAUUUAAUAGUCGCAUUUUGAAAAGAGAGAAUAAAAUAUGAGAAUAAAAUUAUAUACUAUUAAACACUAGAAAAUCUAACGUCCAUGUAUGUAUUUUUUUUAUAUAAAGCUGCUUUAAUGAUUUACAUUUACAUUCAAUGUAAAUCACACAAAAGGGCCUGACUUAAAAAAAAUGGGUUAUUCUUUAUGUUAAUGUAAUAAACGGGUUGUAUGAAGCUGCCUUUUUUUUUUUUUUCUUGAGACAAGGGCUGUUAAUUGUUAGAGAAGGAAGAAUGGUUUCCAUAUCAGUGUGUACAAGGGUCCCACCGUCAGGAGGAAAUAGUGAAAUUUGCUUUUUGUGAUGGGAAGUUGUUAUACGCGGGAUCACGAAAUAUUUAGUAGAAAUUGGAGGGAAAUAAGCUUUUCGUUUUUAAAAGUCUUUAGUUGAUAAAGUGACUUCAGCCCACUACACAAAAGUAGCGCAGUACAGACAAAAAGUUAAGAGUUAUCUCAUUGGUGGAAAAGGAGCAAGAGAGCCCUGUAUUCAAACUGACCUUUAAGCACCAAGAGAUCAGCCCUAUUUUUGGGUGCAGGACCUGCAUGUUAGUUGUACUUGCUGGAUGUUCCUUGGUGGAAUUAUAAAAUGUCCUGGGCAACAAUAUUUUGGUGGGAUUACUCUGUUAAAGGUUAUGAGAAAACAUUGUAGAAAGCAAAUGGCAUAUGUUGAUAUAAAUCACCCAAGCUGGAAUUUUUUGAUGCAACACUACAAGAGCCUGCUGGAUGCUACAUAUGUGGAUUCACUCCCAGGUUUAAAUUAAUGUAUAGGGUUUAAGGUUAAUGUAUAACCAUGUUGACAACAAUUGGUUGAGAUGCACACAUUCUUCAUCAAGUGUUUAGUGUCAGUAAAUGGAGAUAGGAAUUUAAGUAAUUGCAUGACAAUUAGAAGGAACCUGCUAUAAUGUAUGAUGUAAAAAGUAAAUGAAAUGUUCACAUUCAAGCUUUUUUGAUGAAAUCUGGAUGGCAAUGUACAUGAUAAUUAUUGGAAAAAGUGUAUGGUGUUUGAAUUAUAUUAAAUCUAAAACAAAAGUCCUCAAAAUCUGGUACUUGGCAGAGUACUAAAUGAGAGGAAUCUCAAAGAUAAUUUCCCAUUGGUAAAGCUUAAAUUCUUCCUUGGCUACAUACGUUACUACUCUUUAGACAAAAUCUUCUUGAACUUCUUUAUUUUUUCUGAGUUAGUGUGGUGUAAAGAAUGCUUAAUCUAAUUAGAUCCUGUUACCACAAAUUGCAAAGUAUAGAUAUGUAGUAUCUAAAUUUCUUUAAUUCCCCUGUUUUUAAUAAAGAAUAAUCUAUAUGCAUUUAAGAUGAUCAGGACGUAUGGUUUAAAUUUCUAAAUUCCCGUGAAGUAGUGGUAUAUGCUAAUAUAUGCUAUUUCCCUAGCUCUUAUUAUAUAUAAUAUUGCUCCAAGGUUGUAGAUUGGUUUUGGCAUUUUAUUCAUGAGUCACAGAGUACAUACUGAGCAAUUGGGAUAAAUAUAAAUUAGAUGCAUCUACACAUCUCUAUCUAAUUUUC